This 292-nucleotide long non-coding RNA is filed under the name Dermacentor andersoni. RNAcentral's name for it is "uncharacterized LOC126528301". The record is from RNAcentral. Lineage: Eukaryota; Metazoa; Arthropoda; Arachnida; Ixodida; Ixodidae.
CCCUCAGAGCUUCUCACGAAGGUCCAAGCUCAAGUGCCACCUAUGCAUCCAGAGCUGAGGAGCCAUUUCAGUGCCCUUCAUGUCCAGAUGUCGUGCAAAAGGGUAGUCUGAAGAGACAUUUGGUGGUCCGCACAGGCAAGUGUCCAUUUCAGUGCCCUUCAUGUCCUAAGCUUCUUACAAAAGGGUAGUCUGAAGAGCCAUCUGGUCACUCACACAGGCGUCCAUUUCAGUGCCCUUCAUGCACUCAUAGAUUCUCUGCAAAGACCAGUCUGCUCCAAGUUCUUUGUUCAGG